This 253-nucleotide ribosomal RNA is filed under the name uncultured bacterium. RNAcentral's name for it is "partial 16S ribosomal RNA". It matches the Rfam family "Bacterial small subunit ribosomal RNA", at positions 524 to 776 of the family's 1533-position model. The record is from RNAcentral.
GACGGAGGGUGCAAGCGUUGUUCGGAUUGACUGGGCGUAAAGGGCGUGUAGGCGGUUGGUCAAGUCUGGUGUGAAAGCCCGGGGCUUAACCCCGGAAGUGCGCUGGAAACUAGCCAGCUAGAGCGCGAGAGAGGAGGGUGGAAUUCCUGGUGUAGCGGUGAAAUGCGUAGAUAUCCGGAAGAACACCGGUGGCGAAGGCGGUCUGCUGGGGUCGAACUGACGCUGAGGCGCGACAGCGUGGGGAGCAAACAGG